This 168-nucleotide long non-coding RNA is filed under the name Amphimedon queenslandica. RNAcentral describes it as "uncharacterized LOC109591824". The record is from RNAcentral. Lineage: Eukaryota; Metazoa; Porifera; Demospongiae; Haplosclerida; Niphatidae.
CCAUUCGAAGGAUGGGGAGCAACAAAAGAAGCUAGGUCUUAUUUUGUAAAUGGAGAGACUGAUAUAAUCUGCCCUGCUAACUGUGAUGGCCAGUCAUGACCACGUCCACGGCUGCAGACCGCUGAACUAGAGAAACAGAAGUGGGAGGCCAGAGGAGAGGAGCUCGAU